CUCAUAAUGUCAAUCUAAAUUCUAUACCUCUGCUUCUAGACGCUCUCGCUCUCUUCUCUGCGCCGCGCAAGAUGGUUCUUCAGUUGCACCUUGAAGUCCACCUUGAGUUGAUGGGUUGAAGGAUCUCCAUUGUUAGGGUUCUUGCUUUCUUGUUUCUUGCAGGGAUGAAAAAUAUUUGACCCAGUAUAGAGCAGUAUUUGUUGUCAACUGCAAGAUUAAGGAUGACAAAGUUGUGAAGCAAAAUAUACCAAAAUCAAGAAAAAGAAAUAGAAGGACUGAAAGCAAUGAUGCACAUUCGACUAACACUGAAACAUUCAAGCAAGUCUGCUGCUAUGUUUACUUGACAGAGAGGUGUCUAUCACAGAAAUGGGAACUUGUUUUUUCGUACAAACAUUCAUGUAGCAACAACAUUGGAGCAGAAACAACUUGAUUCAGCCAAAGCCAAGCUAAAAAGUCUGAAUUCCUCUUCAUAGUUAUAUGCUAGAACUGAACUCUGGUGGUUUGGGAGUAAUGCAGCAUUUUCCAGUGCGUUAAGGGCAAUGAAUCAAGGUUUUUUGGUGGAUGAGAGUAUGAAUGAGUUGCAAACUCUUUUACAUGGUUUUUAAAUUUCUCCCGCAAAUGGUCACUUGUUGAUGCUCUUAAGUCAAAUACUUUGAUCUUUUGCUUAAGAUCAGAAUUUGAUCAAUUGAGAAACACUAUUAUGGAGGAGACUCAAAGAAUGGUAAAACAAAUGAUGGAAGAAAGGAUGCAACAACCACCAAUGCCAACCCCAAAUCAAGAGGAGUUAGAAACUGAUGAGUCAGAGAAUGAGGAGGAUCUUGGUGCUUUUCCAUGAAAACUUUGUCAAGCUUUGUUUCUAUAUUUAAUGUAAUAGACUAUGUUUAAUGUAAUAGUUAGUAAUCUACUAGACUAGUUUAAGUAGUUCAUGGUAUACUUUUUGUGAUGAUUCAGUGAUGAAUUUAGGUGGAUAUGUUAAGAUUGUGUGUUUUGUGA
This is a long non-coding RNA of Lotus japonicus, 993 nucleotides long. RefSeq lists it as uncharacterized. The record is from RefSeq and is a predicted model, not a curated record. The transcript is spliced from 5 exons. Lineage: Eukaryota; Viridiplantae; Streptophyta; Magnoliopsida; Fabales; Fabaceae.